GCGGAGGAAAAGAAACCAACAGGGAUUGCCUCAGUAACGGCGAGUGAAGCGGCAACAGCUCAAAUUUGAAAGCUGCCAACAGGCCGCGUUGUAAUUUGUAGAAGAUGCUUUGGGUGUCGGCCCAGUCUAAGUUCCUUGGAACAGGACGUCAUAGAGGGUGAGAAUCCCGUACGUGAUUGGUGCCGGUGCCCGUGUAAAGCUCUUUCGACGAGUCGAGUUGUUUGGGAAUGCAGCUCAAAAUGGGUGGUAAAUUUCAUCUAAAGCUAAAUAUUGGCCAGAGACCGAUAGCGCACAAGUAGAGUGAUCGAAAGAUGAAAAGCACUUUGGAAAGAGAGUUAAACAGUACGUGAAAUUGUUGAAAGGGAAGCGCUUGCAACCAGACUUGCGGGCGGUCGAUCAUCCGAGGUUCUCCCCGGUGCACUCGAUCGUUCUCAGGCCAGCAUCGGUUUCGGUGGUGGGAUAAAGGCUGUGGGAAUGUGGCCCUUCGGGGUGUUAUAGCCCACGGUGCAAUGCCGCCUACCGGGACCG
RNAcentral lists this ribosomal RNA (528 nucleotides) under Phialocephala lignicola. RNAcentral describes it as "eukaryotic LSU rRNA". It matches the Rfam family "Eukaryotic large subunit ribosomal RNA", at positions 50 to 589 of the family's 3401-position model. Lineage: Eukaryota; Fungi; Ascomycota; Leotiomycetes; Helotiales; Mollisiaceae. The record is from RNAcentral.